This 406-nucleotide RNase P RNA is filed under the name Nocardia asteroides. RNAcentral describes it as "RNase P RNA component class A". It matches the Rfam family "Bacterial RNase P class A". Rfam says of the family: Ribonuclease P (RNase P) is a ubiquitous endoribonuclease, found in archaea, bacteria and eukarya as well as chloroplasts and mitochondria. Its best characterised activity is the generation of mature 5'-ends of tRNAs by cleaving the 5'-leader elements of precursor-tRNAs. The record is from RNAcentral. RNAcentral also lists the same sequence under 1 other name. Lineage: Bacteria; Bacillati; Actinomycetota; Actinomycetes; Mycobacteriales; Nocardiaceae.
CGAGUCGGCCGGGCGACCGCGGUGACGGGAACGGGCACUAUGGUGUCGCUGCCCGGUGCCGAGGAAAGUCCGGACUCCACAGAGCAGGGCGGUUGUUAACGGCAACCCGGGGCGACCCGCGGGACAGUGCCACAGAAAACAGACCGCCGCACAGCACGUGCGGUAAGGGUGAAACGGUGCGGUAAGAGCGCACCAGCGCCCCGGGUGACCGGGGCGGCUCGGUAAACCCCGCCCGGAGCAAGGUCGAAGGUCGCACCUCGCGGUGCGGCUGCGCAGGUGUUCGAGGGCUGCUCGCCCGAGCCUGCGGGUGGACCGCUCGAGGCACCCGGCGACGGUGUGUCCAGAUGGAUGGUCGCCCCCCGGUGCGAACCGGGGACAGGAUCCGGCUUACAGGCCGGCUCGUCCG